Molecule: long non-coding RNA, 2085 nt
Filed under: Panax ginseng (ginseng)
Lineage: Eukaryota; Viridiplantae; Streptophyta; Magnoliopsida; Apiales; Araliaceae
Description: long non-coding RNA (PGIN_LNC014701)
Source: RNAcentral
CGAAUACUAAAUUACCGAAUAGUAAUUUCGGGUAUUCGGGUAAAAACCGAACCAACAUCCAACAUAAAUUAACUGUUAACUCAUAACUGUUCAACAAAUGAACAAAGUAACUAUCCAGCAGCAAAAUAACUUAAAACAAGCCAACAAAAUAACUGUCCUUAAAACCUUAACAAAGUUUAUGACUUGAACAAAGCAGCUAGCACCCUACAUCUACAAGAAUUUAUUCUACUAGCAGGCAACAGCUACUCAGCACUCAGCAGUGUGCUUGUGCAACAGCCAAGACUCCAGAGUCAACAGCCAACAACCAAUAGUACAGCAACAUGCAACAAGAAAUCAGCAAUAGCAACAGCCACAACCAACAACAAUCAGCACAAGGAGCAAAAGGCAUCUGAAAUUACAACAGCAACAACCCAAUUGCAAUCAGCACAAGUAUAUAUAUAUAUAAUAAGAUCCAACAAGGCAACAACCCAAUUGCAAGUAACUAUCAUGUCAUACAUUGCCAGAAAUCCAACCAAAGAAUACGAGUAUAUGACAAAUUCUAAUUGACCAACAACAUCUCAUCAGACCCAGAUUAGGAAAUGCAACAUUAUAUGUAAAUUUUCGUACCAGAUGACACAAAUUCAACUAAUACAACUUAAUAGGACUAGUCUAAAGCAAAGACCUUUUGAGUCCCAUAAAAGAAAACAAUUAUCAACAAACCCAUAAAAAAAUAGCUAGCAUAAACAGUUUGAGAGAGAAACAUUACCCAGUAUCAGUGCUUGAUGGGAAGCUCAAAGAAGUUGUUAUAAACCUUAAUUUUGAUUUUACUGAUCAUUCAUCCGAAGCUCUUUGUGGAAUUUUGAGUAGUGUAUGAAAUGAUAUUAAUUAUCAACAUGAACACUAAUGGAAUUGUGAGCCAUACAGAUCUAACUAUCAUGUCAUACAUUGCUCAUAAAACACAUAAAAUCAGCUCCACACCUUUAGGAAUAACACAGUCUCACACCUUUAAAAAACAGCUAGUAACUUCAUCUAGGAACUAUAUUAUUAGACCCGGAACUGAUCAUCCAUCAGAAUGGUCAUCUGAACUAUAUUAUUAAGGUCACCAGCUCCACACCUUUAGGAAUAACACAUAAAAACUAAAACUAAAAUGUAGUCACCACCUCACAGUCUCACACCUUUAAAACACAGCCAGUAAACAGUCCCCCAAAAUUCACCAAUCACCACCAUAGAAGAACAAUCAUCAAGCAUCAAGCCCAUAGGCCAUAUGCCAUAACAAUUCCAAAAGUCCCACAAAAUUUGAUAGUAUAAAAUCCAACAGUAAAUAGUCCCCCAAAAUUUUAAUAUAAAAUCUAUCAGUAAAAUCAAUAAACUUAAUCCCCAAAACACUGAAAUAGAGAUUUAGAAAAAAGAAACCCAUUUGGUACAAAGAAGACUAGAAUAGUACAAAGAAAAUCCAGAAUGCUUGAGCAACACAACAAUCCAUUACAAGAUGCUCUAACUUUCACCCUGUCCUUGAUAAAAUCCAACGAAAAUUCAGAUACUCCCAUAAAAUUAUCAACACAAAUUAAACUUGAUCUGGAGUGUGAUGACUCAGUAACCUCUAUCAGUACCAUAGGAUUUCUAACAGACAUUUCAUUGUAUAAUUGUAUAAAAUAUUUAUCUGAUACCAAUUUAUACCACAAUUUACAAACACACUUAUAUCUAAACAGGGAUUUCAAAGGCAAUCUAGCAAGAAUUUGAAGAAUAACUUCAUCUGGGAAAAACCCAUACUUUAAAUAGGGUAGAUUCAUCGUACGAUUACUAGAAAGAACCAAAAAGUGCUACAUAAUCAAAAGAAUGAUCGAGAAUCGCUUACGCAGUUCCAUCUUCAGCUGUGAAAACCCGUGAAACUUCUGAUCUUUAGCCAAAAGGUAAGACGGCGCGAAGCAGAGAUAGAGUCAGAGAGAGGCAGAGGCCGGAGAUGAUGUAACGGAGAGAGGCGGAGGCCGGAGAUGAUGUCACAGACUCACAGUCGAGAGUCGAGACUCGAGAAGCAAGAAGAGGUUGAGGAAUUGAAGUGAGAUCUGGGAUUGGGAUUUGCCGAUUUGGGAGCGACGACUGCUAGGG